This 217-nucleotide long non-coding RNA is filed under the name Lathyrus oleraceus (garden pea). Its description in RNAcentral is "Pisum sativum (pea) long non-coding RNA (PSAT_LNC014410)". The record is from RNAcentral. Lineage: Eukaryota; Viridiplantae; Streptophyta; Magnoliopsida; Fabales; Fabaceae.
GUAGGUGUUUAAUUGGCUGCAUUGUAUGGUAAAACACUAGCUGGAUUCUAAUGUCUUGACUGAUGUCAUGACAUGCUGUGAAGGUGUUUGUGUGACUGCAUUGUAGGUUAGAAUAUCUAACUGUACUCUGAUGUCUUGACUGAUGUCAUGACACACUUGAGUAGUUUACUGCAGGAUUAGCUAAUACAGGAUUUAUUGAAUGUCAAAUUGGAUGUGG